Molecule: ribosomal RNA, 497 nt
Filed under: uncultured bacterium
Lineage: Bacteria
Description: partial 16S ribosomal RNA
Rfam family: Bacterial small subunit ribosomal RNA
Source: RNAcentral
GAUGAACGCUGGCGGCGUGCCUAAUACAUGCAAGUCGAGCGAACGGACGAGAAGCUUGCUUCUCUGAUGUUAGCGGCGGACGGGUGAGUAACACGUGGAUAACCUACCUAUAAGACUGGGAUAACUUCGGGAAACCGGAGCUAAUACCGGAUGAUAUUUUGAACCGCAUGGUUCAAAAGUGAAAGACGGUCUUGCUGUCACUUAUAGAUGGAUCCGCGCUGCAUUAGCUAGUUGGUAAGGUAACGGCUUACCAAGGCAACGAUGCAUAGCCGACCUGAGAGGGUGAUCGGCCACACCGGAACUGAGACACGGUCCAGACUCCUACGGGAGGCAGCAGUAGGGAAUCUUCCGCGAUGGGCGAAAGCCUAACGGAGCAACGCCGCGUGAGUGAUGAAGGUCUUCGGAUCGUAAAACUCUGUUAUUAGGGAAGAACAUAUGUGUAAGUAACUGUGCACAUCUUGACGGUACCUAAUCAGAAAGCCACGGCUAACUACGUG